This 465-nucleotide ribosomal RNA is filed under the name uncultured bacterium. Its description in RNAcentral is "partial 16S ribosomal RNA". It matches the Rfam family "Bacterial small subunit ribosomal RNA", at positions 28 to 507 of the family's 1533-position model. The record is from RNAcentral.
GACGAACGCUGGCGGCGUGCUUAACACAUGCAAGUCGUACGGUAAGGCCCUUUCGGGGGUACACGAGUGGCGAACGGGUGAGUAACACGUGAGUAACCUGCCCACAACUUUGGGAUAACGCUAGGAAACUGGUGCUAAUACUGGAUAUGUGCUCCUGCUGCAUGGUGGGGGUUGGAAAGCUCCGGCGGUUGUGGAUGGACUCGCGGCCUAUCAGCUUGUUGGUGGGGUAGUGGCCUACCAAGGCGGCGACGGGUAGCCGGCCUGAGAGGGUGACCGGCCACAUUGGGACUGAGAUACGGCCCAGACUCCUACGGGAGGAAGCAGUGGGGAAGAUUGCACAAUGGGCGCAAGCCUGAUGCAGCAACGCCGCGUGCGGGAGGACGGCCUUCGGGUUGUAAACCGCUUUCAGCAGGGACGAAGCUUUUUGUGACGGUACCUGCAGAAGAAGCACCGGCUAACUACGUG